GAUCUGGGAUGAAUUUGGAUCUAAUUGAGCAAAAAAUUGUGUUUUUUCAAUCUAUUGAAUUUCACAUCCUUAAACCCUUGCAUAUUCAAUCUAUUGAAUUUCGCAUAUUUUUCCUCAAAUUUAUCCAAAAUCAUCCCAAAUC
This is a non-coding RNA of Arabidopsis thaliana (thale cress), 142 nucleotides long. The record is from RefSeq. Lineage: Eukaryota; Viridiplantae; Streptophyta; Magnoliopsida; Brassicales; Brassicaceae.